Molecule: long non-coding RNA, 31921 nt
Filed under: Lactuca sativa (garden lettuce)
Lineage: Eukaryota; Viridiplantae; Streptophyta; Magnoliopsida; Asterales; Asteraceae
Description: long non-coding RNA (LSAT_LNC004917)
Source: RNAcentral
CGUGUUGGAUCGAAUUUAUCACUUUUUAGGCAUGGACUUGCCGAGUCUCCUGAUGGACUCGCCGAGUCUGAUGAUCAGACAACAAGAAAUUCGAUUUUUUAAGCAGUUUUGCAAGUAUAACAAGAAAACAAGCCUAGGCUCUGAUACCACUGUUGGGUUUUGAGCAUUCUAACACUCCUAAGUGUACAUGCAACCCUAAAUACCUUGGAUCUAUGUUUUCUCUAUUAUACAUGCAAAUAAGAACUUCCAAGGUAUUAUCCUAAUCUAGCAUACAAAAACAAUGAGUGUAACAAGAUAGAAUACAUACCUCUUUGAUGUAGAAAGUCUUCAUGAAGCUUGAGUGCCUAGCCCCAAUAGUGUGGAAGCCUCAAAUGGAAUCACAAUCACCAAAACACUUAGAAUAACUUGAGAGAAUUCUACAACUCAUGAAAUCGGCUAGCCCUUUUUUACUUCACAUUCUAGUGGCCGAUUUGGUAAAGAAUAAGAUGCUUAUAUAGUUAGGGUUACACCAUGUAAACCCUAAUUGACAUGGCCUUUCAUUUCCAUGAUCUAUGGGUUCAAAUACACCAUGGAGCAUCCAUGGACCAUCCUAUGGGUUUUAGCCCAACUUGAUUAUCCAUGGAGCAUUAGCCCACUAUACAAGUAUGGAUGAUUUACACAAUCAACCCAUAUAUUUAAUUAUUCUUCUUUUGAUCACUUAAUUAAUCCUAGAUUAAUUCUUGAUCAAUACUAAUUAAAUAAUCUUAUUAUUCUUAUUAUUAAUAUACUAGAACUUAUAAUAUAUUAAUAACCAUAAGUGUCUUAUUUCUCUCAUUAUAGUCUAUCCAAGUGCAUGAUGGUAUGCAACCCAAAUGGACCAUGCCGGGUCGGGUCAAGUCUUACCAAUUAUAGUUAUGGACUUAGACAUUAAUCCAACAGUGAGUUACAUAGUGUAACCCUAAUACCACAAUAUACAAGGACCCCAUAGCUUAAGAAAUCGGCCCUAAGAAGGUUCAUAUGAGAGGGCUAGCCGAUUUGAGCAUAAGGAAUUUUCUCUCAAUUUAUCCAAGUUGUUGUUGAUGUUGUGUCAACCAUUUGAGGUGUUACACUUGAGGCACUCGUCUCUUAAGCUCCACGGAAUGAAGCUACAACACAAAAGGUAUGUUACUCUAACUAGUAUCUUAUUUGAUAUAUGAAAAUGCAUGCUAGUUAUAGGUUUAAUGCCUUGGAACCCAUUUGCAUGUAUAAUUAGUGAAAACAUAGAUCCAAGGUAUUUAGGGUUGUAUGUGCACCAUAGGAUGUUGUAGUAUACCAAAACCCAUCAGUGAUAUCAAAGCCAAGGCUUGUUUUCAAGUUAUACUUGCUGAAAUAGCUUAAAAAUCGAAAAUUUUGGCUUUCUAGGCACUGGACUCGUCGAGUCCACUAAUGGACUCGUCGAGUCCAUGAAGAAAUUCGUCCUACUCGUCGAGUAGGUUCAUACACUCGACGAGUAGAAGCCCCUGACAACAUAUUUUCGACUUUUAAGGUUAGAAUUGGACUAGAAUCAUUACCCUAAGCUGUUUUUGAACCUAUAAACUUGUUUUUGAUGUGGUAAUGUUCAUUCUAAUCCAAUUUAGAAGAUAAUUGUCAAUAGAUUCAUGUUUUGUAUUAGUUUAAUGGUUAGGCUAAUUACAUGAAAAUUAUUUGAUAUGAAUUAUCUUGUUCUUAUGAGUUUGCUUAGAUUAAUAGAAAAAUUAUGUGAUAAUGUGUUUUCAAUCCAAAUUGAUCUAGAAGUUAUUCAUAAAAUGUGUUUUUUUGACUUGUACUCAAUUUAUAUGAAAAGUCACAUUUAUGAGUUUUAAACACUCAUAAGAUUUCCAUAAGUUAUGAAAAUGAAGAGUCUCAUUUUUAAAUAGUUUAAAGUCUUUCAUAAUUUGUCCUCGAGUUAUGGAAUUUGAACAGUUUUUCAUUAAAACUACUUUAAACACAUAAGUUAUGUAAUUGAAAAGUUUUUGAACUUUUCAAAACUUGCCCUAAAGUUUUAGAAAUUGUAAAGUUUCCCCAUGAAUACUUUAAUUCCAUGUUAAACCCUUAGAAUUUUAAAAGUUAAAAUUCAACCGUUAUACUAUUAUAAUAUUAAUAGUUAAUAGUUAUAUAUAUGUAUAAGAACAAAGUCAGUCUUACUGUUAGUAGGCCUCAUUCACGAAGCCGGUUUAUAAGAGGGUAUAAGGUUACUACCUUUAAAAUGACAGUUUAAUGGGUGUCCACUCUCACCCACCGCUUCCUUGACUGGUGGAGGGUGGUUAGCCGAACGGGUUUGAUAGGACUAUAAUUAUCCCUUCAUUAAAAGUAUUAAUGAUAAAUACUAAGUAACUAAACUCUUAUAAAUUCGCAAUCUUAGUUACUUUAGAAAAUGUGAAUUUUGUGCUAACCCAUGAGAUUACACUUUGCUCUUUGCUUAAGUCGUUAGUGGAGCGCGUGUGGUUAACUGGCACACUAAAUUGAUUUUAAGAAGGUUGGCAAAUGGUGGCUUAAUGUUUACCAUAGAUAGGUGGAGCGCGUGUGGUUAACCGGCACAACGAUUAGGUGAUAAAAAUUAAGAGUAUCAAGUAUAUUUGCAUGGUUAUUCACACCUUGUUUGUGCUCCUCGACAUCCUAGUCACAAACUUGAGAGGGUAAAAUCGAGAUUUAAACAUGCCAUUGAAUAGUUCAAUGAAUCUCAAAAGAUCUAGGAGUUUCAAAGCAAUUAAAACCUAAUACCUAUUUCGUUUUUCAUGGUGGAAAUUGGUGAAUUGUCAUUUGCCUACCUUCUAAUAUUUUAUAGCUUGGAUUACGGCAUCCCUCUUCCAAGUUAUAAAAGUAUUGUGUUGGGUCCUAGCCUUAAUAUUUCAUAUUGGGUGUUAUAUUAAGGAAUUAAAUCAACUAACUUGAAUAUCUCCCAUUGUAGAUGUCUGGUUCAGACAACUAUGAUCUUCCCAAAUCCCUAGGAACAAGUUUUCCUAAUGAAGUUGAUGUCCCGUGGUUGGUUCAUGGAAAUCAUACUUCUCUUCCUUCACAUCCUCCAAUUAUUCUCCCUAACCUACAAGUUCUUGAAAACUUCAAGGUCACUCAAGCCCUAUUGGCAAGCAAAGUCUAUGUGUGCUCACAUCUUAGAGAUAAAGUCACAUAUUGACAAGCCGGGAGAGUUGGGUGCCAAUGUCUUAAGGAAGUUGGUUGUUGACUAAGUUCUUCAAUCACUUUCUAAGUCUCAUAGUGAGUUCCUUUAGGGCUACUACAAGACAGACCAUGACAUGACCCUUAAUGAUCUUACAUGUUGAAACAUAAAACUGACCCUCUUAAACUUAAAAGAUAUUCGAAGCUGCUUUCAGGAACCGCAGUCAAUCUCAGCACCGCAAUCAAUAUCAGCAACCGAAGUCAUCGUCAUCAACUCUUAGUUUUAGUCUUAUAUCUGUUUUUCUAUAAGUACUUUCUUUUAUCCAAUGUGCCCUGCAUGGCAACUCUUAACAUAUUAGACUGUAUGUAAUCUUUGAGACUCUAUAAAUAUAGUUCUCUCUUUCUCAAUGAAAAAUACUUCUCUUACGCAUCUUGAAUCUUAUCACUCAUCUUACUCCCUUCUUACUUAUCACUUAAAUAUAAUUUUAACUAUUUGAAAUCUCUCUUCGAAGCAAGUCUUUCUAGACUUAAUCACUAAGUUUGAUCUCACUUACUAACUUGGUCUGAUUGCAUUCCUUGUUAAGAAUCAACUUAAGUGUAUACUUGAUAUAAUACUUGUUGUCUUUUAUAUUUCCUUAUAUUUCCGCAUCUAACUUUCUAACUCUAACUUAUUAUUAUUGUUGACAUUUAAUGAUCCUUUGGUUAAACUUUAUUCUGCAUUAUCACUUUUUCUAACGUUUGUUCAAGUGUCACUCAAGUUUUUCUCUCAACAGUUGGUAUCAGAGCCAAAGUGGUUGCUUUUUGAAGCAAAACUCUGAUUUUCAAAAGGCCUUCUAUACAACUGAAGCUCAUUUCUCAAAAAAAAUCAAAACAAGGAAAUAUGGCACAUGCAUUAUCUCUCAAUGUUUCCAACAGUGUUAGUGGUUCUAAUAGAGCCCCAAUAUUGGUGGCAAACGAAUAUCAUCGCUGGUCUCAGAGGAUGGAAAUAUACUUAAGGAGACUUGGAAGAGAUGUAUGGCGAUCUGUAGAGGAAGGGCCACAUGUCCUUGUUCUUACACCAGUUCAAACUGACGGCUCCACAGCCAGGCUAGGAGGAGGUCAACCAGCCAUGAAUCGUCCCACUAAAGACAAUUUUCAUAAAAUGGAAAAUGAUGUUGUUGCCUUUUAUGAAAUCUCUUGUGGAGUUGCUCUUGACAACUUCGACAUUAUCAUAAACUGCAAAUAACCAAAAGAGAUAUGGGAUGUUCUCAAAAACCUCUAUGAGGGCAUUGAACAAGCCCAAGAUAAGAAGCUCACAACCACACUCAAUGAGUUCAACAAUUUCAAAGCUCAUACUAGCGAAACAUUGGAAGACUCCUUCAAAAGGUUCAACCUGAUUGUGACUAAGUUAUCUAAUGUUGGCACGGUCUGAAGCAACCAUGAGAACAAGAAUCCACUAUACUCAAAGAAUGUGCUGACUUCAGAGGACCACUGGCUCUUAUAGCACAAGCUCCACAUACUCAAUCUUACUCUCCCUCGUAUGACAAUCCUACACAGUCAUACAAAGCUGACUCAGGGUAUGAUGACAAAGAAGAAUUUCAGAAUGCUAUAGCUCUUGUUAUCCAACAGUUCAACCGGCUACCACCUCCUUCUUUUCCUAAGAAUCAGCAGUUCAACAAACCUCCAUUCAACCGCAACUUCAAUAAUCACUCUCGAUAUCCCAAAAAUCCUCACCCACCACCGCAAUCUCAGACCACUCAACCCAAAGAGGCACCGAAGCCUAUCCAUCCAACUGAAUCUGGUACCUUGUUAGAAGAUAAAAAUGAUGUUGUAAUCUAUCACAAGUGUAACAUGGAGAAUCACUUUGCAAAAGACUGCAAAGCUAACAUAGUGAAAGAUAGAGCAUUCUACCUUAGAAUGGCUCAAGAAUUGGAAGAAAAGGAAAAAAAAAAGCAAAGGUAUUCAUAGCCCAUGUGAAGAGGGACCAGCAAGUUUGGUCAUCAGGAGAUGAAGAUGAAAACGUCAGCAACGCCAAGGGUAAAGGCAAGAUUUGCAUGCUGGAAAAUGCGGAUGAUGAUGGGUCUACGAAGCUGGAAAAGAACUACUGCUACAUGGCAUAGGAUGGGACUCUAAGCAUCGUCGAACAGACAUUGUGCAAGGAGGAACAAGAAGAUGAAUGGUUAAUUAAUAGUGCCUGCUCCUUGCGCAUGACCAGAAGGUUAGAAUACCUUCGGGACUUCAGGCCAAUCAGCAAUGGUGGAAAUGUCACCUUCGGUAACAACGCAAAUGGGAUAAUCUGAGGUUAUGGUGUUCUUACUAUGGGAAACUUCUCUAUUCAAAAGGUUUGUUACAUAGAAAGCCGUAAACACAAUCUAAUCAGUGUAGGCCAACUAUGUAAAGAAGGCCACAGAGUUGAAUUUGACAAUGAGUACUGCUACAUAAUGACAAGUGAUAGAAGCACCUGUUUGAUCAAAUUCAAGUCUGAAGGAACCAUGUAUCCGCUGGACGUUUCUCUGAUAUAUCAACAAUUUGGUCACCGGAGAACUCGCUCGAGGUCUCCCAAUUCUCAAAUUCAGCAAAUGAUACACUCUGUCCUACCUAUGAAUGUGGCAAACAAUCCAAAGCAAGUCACCCAAUGCUGUUUGAUUCUUCAAUUUUUGAACCACUGGAACUUCUGUAUAUUGAUCUCUGCGGUCCAUCUACCGUAGCCAGUCUUCAUCACAAAAAAUGCAUAUUAGUUAUAGUUGAUGACUUCACUCAUUUCACUUGGGUCUUCUUCCUGACAUUCAAAUCCGAAACUCCACAGAUACUGAUCAAUUUUAUCAAAGAAAUUGAACUUCAAAUGAAAUUACCAGUGCACCACACCCGAAGUGACAAUGGAACCGAAUUUACCAAUCACAACUUGAAUAGUUUCUUUGUUUCAAAGGGUAUUAGUCACAACUUCUUAGCUCCCUACACACCGCAGCAGAAUGGAGUAGUAGAGCGAAGAAACCAAACUUUGGUAGAAGCAGCCAGAUCUAUGCUUAACUUCACACACGUUCCUCUUUACUUCUGGGCCGAAGCAAUGGCCACAUCAUUCUUUAUUUAAAACCAAAGCAUUUUUUGGAAGCGUCUCAGUAAAAAUAUGUAUAAGGGCCUUAACAACCACAAACCAAAUGUCCGAUUCUUCCACAUCUUUAGGUGUAGAAGUUUUGUGAUCAACAACAGAGAUCAUCUUAACAAGUUCGCACCGAAGUCUGAUGAAGGCAUCUUCCUUGGCUACUCAACAAACAAAGUAGCUUAUCGGGUUCUCAUUAGAUGCACAGGACUAAUAAUCGAAAGCUUUGACGUCAAAUUCGAUGAUUAUUACAUCCGCAACAUCGCUCCAUCAACCGAAACCAAAGCAAUCCUAGAAAGUGAUAUUCCAACCUCUUCGGGUCCAUUAAACAUAGUUGAAGUAAACUAUGAUGAUCUCUUUGAUCCUAUAGAGACUGCUAAGCUAUCCGAAGUUCUUGUGUCCCCAGAAGCUCAAUAGCAACAUGCCCAUGUAUCUGGUCCAUCUCUAUCCAAUGAAGUAUCAAUCCAUACUUCCACCUCGCCGGUUGAGGGGAAAGCUCCACUCCGGAUCAAGUAACAACCAUUGAGGUUCCAGUACUUAAUGAUGUAGCUCCAGUUCCUACCCGCAAAGGAUCUCUACCCUCAAAUGUUUCUUCUAAAUCAGAUGACGAAAAUAUAGAGAACAUUGACACAAGAACUGACCCAAGGAUUAUCACACUUCCAACAAUCCAGGGGGAACUAUCUUAGAAUCAAGGGGAACUCUCGUCUGCAAUCAAGGGGGAACCUCAAUCUUUUGUUCAAAAAAACUCUAAUCCCACCUUCCCAAAUCAAGACAAUUCAGCGGGCUGCUCACAAGUCUAGGGGGAACUGUCGUCCCCAACCGCAGAAUCUUCAAAUAUUGAAGACAUGCCAUCCACCGCAGCCACUAACCAUCUUCAACCUCGUCUACACGUGUGGAUGAAGGAUCACCUACCAGGUCAAAUCUUCGGAAACCCAUCAGCAACAAUGCAAGAGGAACUGGAAGAGUUCAAAAGAAACAAAGUGUGGCAACUCAUUCUGAAGCCAAAAGGUCACACCAUUGUUGAUAUCAGAUGGGUGUACAAGAACAAAUUGGAUGAAUCCGGUGUAGUAGUCCGGAACAAAGAAAGACUAGUCGCUAAGGGAUAUCGUCAACUUGAAGGUGUUGAUUAUGAUGAAACAUAUGCCCCAAUAGCCCGAAUGGAAUCCAUCCGCAUUUUAUUAGCAUAUGCUGCUCAUAAGAACAUUAAAGUACAUCGAAUGGAUGUGAAGAGUGCUUUUCUCCAUGGUGAAUUGAAAUAGGAGGUUUAUCAUAAGCAACCUCCAGGCAUCGAAAGUCUUGAAUUCACAUAUCACUGUUAUAAGCUUGAAAAGCUAUCUAUGGUCUGAAGCAAGCACCAAGAGCAUGGUACGAGACUCUCUCUAAAUUUCUUGUCUCUUCUGGAUAUAAAAGAGGAGUGAUUGAUCCCACUUUAUUUAGAAAGGUAAAUGGUAAUCACCUUAUGCUUGUACAAAUAUAUGUGGAUGAUAUCAUCUUCGGAUCAACGGAUCAGGGGAUGGUGGAUGAAUUUGCAAAGCUCAUGACCUACGAGUUCCAAAUAAGCAUGAAUAGAGAGAUUAAUUUAUUUCUAGGACUUCAAGUGAAACAAGUCCCUCAAGGGUUAUUCAUCCAUCAGGAGAAAUACUCAAUGGACAACUGUUCCUCAGCCAAGGUGUAACACCCGGAAUCCAAAAGACCAAGAAAGGAAAAAAAACUUGAGUCAAAGGGGUCAACUCGUCGAGUCCAAGGAAGAACUCGAUGAUUCGGAGCGUGUCCCAUGUCGUGGAUUAAGUGACAGACUCGACGAGUCGGGGAGACUGACUCGACAAGUCAGGUCUAGAUUGGGAAACCCUAAUUUCGGGACUUGGUGCCCUAUUUAAACGCCCUACUCUCAUUUCUAGGGCUUCAUUUACAGCCUCCACUGUCCAAAGAUGAAACUCUAGCCACCCAACUUCAUUCUUGAGAUUGUGUGAGAAGAUUAAGGUCCCUUUUGAGUGCAUCUUGAAGGUUGUAGGAGAAAGGAGCAAGGAAAGGAGUAAAGAUCCAGAGUUUGGGUGACAUCUCAGAUCAUUUGAAGGUAUAAAGCUUAUACCUUGACUGUUAAUCAUCUAGAUCUCCUUCUCUAGCUUGUAUUUUGUCACAUUUGGGCCAUUUCCGAGGUUAAUCCGAGUAUUAUGCCCUUGAGGAUGUAUUGGACUUCAGGUCUGGGCACUUUUGAGCUUUGGAAGCUCAGAAUUGCUAGCUUUAUGCAGUUAUGGCCCCAUUUCAUGACCAAGACCUUCAUUUUAGCUUGGAUUCAGUGUUCUAGCUCCAUAACACAUUGCAUGCAUGUAAAGUUAGCAACUUUAUGUGUGAUGCUAGAAUUAGGUGUCCAGAUCUAUGAGUUGGAGGUGUUGGAAUGGACUGUAAUCGAGAAAAUGAAGAUAAUGAAGGUGGACUCGGCGAGUCUGUUCUUGGACUCGGCGAGUCGGGUCGAAACCCUAAUCCCUUAUGGUUAUGAGUCAAACUAGUGAGUUGACUGGUGACUCAGUGAGUUGGACAGGAUACGACUCGGAGAUUAGAAGACUCGAAGAGUCAUGGGGUGACUCGGAGAUCCGAGUCGCAACUUAUAGGAUUUUCUGAUUGUAUGAACUCGGCGAGUCAAUAGUGUGACUCGGCGAGUAGGGUCAACCUAGAAGGUUGACUUUGACCAGGUCUUUGACCAGAGUUGACUUAGUUUGACUUCUAUAGGACAAUUUAUGACUAAGUGUUAUUUUGGUAUUGGUAGUUCGGGAAGCCGAAGGGUCAGCGGUUCAGAAGUUGCCUGUAAGCAAUCGAAAGUGUUCAGCGAGUUUUCAGCAAUGCGAGGUGAGUCUCCUCACUGUGUGCAUGGGUCUACGGCCACAAUGUCGGCCCAUUAUGUUUAUAUUUAUGUUUUGCUUAUAUAUAUAAGGAAGACCCAGGGGUUAUCCCUAGGCACUUAUUGAUAUAUGCUCCAGGUUACGUCCUGAUGUCGGGCGAGGCCCGGGGGAUGAUAGGAUGCUAGGGGUCUUGGAGAUUCUUACAUGUGUUGGUAUGAUAGGAUCCGGAACGAGGGUCCGAUGUCGGGGUAAGCCCGAAGUACGUUAGAUAACAGGAUGUUUCCGGGCCGAGGGUCCAAUGUCGGGGUGUUCCCGAGGAAGAUUUUUAUGUAGUGUGUUAGAUUAUACUUGUUGUCUUCAUGAUAUUUGUAUGUGCCUGGUAGGGAGGUGAGUGUGGGCGAGGUCUCGUAUCUCAUCAAUAGCUGAGUAUGGAUGGGGUUCCAUAUCUCGAUAUUAGCAGAACAGGGGCGAGGCCCAUGUUAGAAAGGAUUUGAGUGUGGGCGGAGGCGGGGGCCCAUAUCUCACUACUAGUAGGAGUGUGGACGGGGUUCCACUACAACAGUAGUAAACCACGGGUGGGGCCCAAGUUAGGCGAGGCCUUAGAUCAGGGUAUGGUUAGGGAAUGUUUAUGUAUGUUUUAGUAUGUUAUUUGAUCGUAUUUAUGUGUAUAGCGGGCGAUGCCCAGAGACAGGCGGGGCCUAAGGGAAACAGAUCUGUAUACCGAGCGGGGCUCGAUGCCAGGUGGGACCUGAUGCCAGGCGGGGCCUGAUGAAGGACAGGCUCCGAUGGCGGGCGGGGGCCCAGUAUGUGGUUAUGUGCUCCGAAUUAUGUAAGGCAUGUUUGGAUCAGUAGAUAUGUUUGGUAUGUGGUAGGUUGGGGAACUCACUAAACUUCAUGCUUACGGUUUUUAGUUUUGGUUUCAGGUACUUCCGGUAGCAGAGGGAAGAGCUCGGGGUGAUCGCAUGGCACACACACAACAAGAAGUUUAGCUUGGGAUGUUUACUCUGAUAAAAUGAAUAAGUGUUUGAAAACAUACUUUGUUCUGUUAUAUAACCCUUUUAGUAUGUUUGAAAUGAUUUAAUACUAUGGUCUGGUAAUGUUUUAAAAAGAAAUUUUUGGUCAUGAUUUUUGGGAUUGUACAAGUUGGUAUCAGAGCCUUGGUUUGAGGGAUCCAGGCAUACUCUUGGGUGUGACUGAACUCAAACUAAGGGCUUGGUAAGGAAAAUUUCAAAGGAAAAUCGUUUUUAUAAAAAGAACUUUGGAAAAAAAAGGGUUUCAAAAAGGGAAUAAGAACUUUAAAAAGAGAAAAGGGUGUGGUUCAUGCAAUCAGCCGAGCUCAAGUAAGUUCUCCCAAAUUACCCAUACAAGUUUAUGUUAUGAUUAUGUGACCAACAUGCUAGAUUUAGGGCUAGGGAUCCAGGAGGAUGCCUUAUGUGCCUGUUAUAUGUGCUUAUUGAGCUAUAUGCUAGUAUUGGUUAGGCAGUGGUAGGAUAGCCUGUUUAGGUUAUGUCUGAUUACAUGAGCUCAUAUCGCAUGCUAGUGCAGAUUCUUGUUGUGUGGAUAGAAUUGCUUGAUUAUGUUCUUGUUAGAUUUCCCUUUUUGUCUGAAUGCUACUUGCUUUGUGCUUUAUGGGACUCUGAGGGAUGGGAGUUAGCCAUUAGGUGAAUGCGUUAAUUCACAUGUGACCAGGGUUGAAUAAUCCCAGAGUGCUGGAUGUGGCCCUAUUGCGCAGCUGUUGCCUGAGUCCAACCGUUGUAGGGAUGAGUCCUUUACUCGAAGGAUUAUUUGAGCCUCGUCACAUGUGAUGGUAUUCAGGUCUUGGCUAACUAGCAUUGUGAUGAUGCCUUCAGUAGUUGAGGACGGAGUAAGUUGGAGGAUACCCUAGGGCAAGCCUAGGAUGAUCUUAGUGCUGGGAGCAGUAGUAGUAGUAGGGGACUUGGUGGAGUUAAGGAAACUCUUGAGGAAAGUAUGGAUAGAUGUGGAAGGUCGUAUGGGCCCGUAAUACUGAAAGCAGAGGAUCUGUACUCGAUUCAGGAGGGGUUGAGAUAAAACCAGUGAACUUGUAGUGUGUGUGUGAUCCCUCAGAAGUGAUGUGUAUUUUGAUGAUUGUUAUGGCAUGUUCUCAGUAUGGUGACAUUGCAAGAUGAACCGGUGGAUGGGUCCGGUGUUAGAGAGGGAUCAUGCUCGGGUUCAGGGACUGAGUAGCUCGAGGAGCGAAUGAGGUAGUUUGUAUCAGCGGAGGUUACGCAUAGUAUUCUAGACCAGGCUCAUGUGAUCUUUGGCACGGUCAAGGUGGGCAUCCUAUAGAUGUUGGAUGAGAGGCUUGGGGCCUUCUACAGAGAGAUGAUGGCCUUGUUGGGAGCGCGAGUAUUGACAUUCCGAGAGUUCAGAGCUUGUGGAGCUCCAGACUACCAUGGGGCUAGGGACUCCGUUGCUAGUGGAAGAUGGUUGGCUGAUGUCGCCAAUGGUUUUCGUUCCAGCUGGUGUCCCGAGGGGGACAAGGUUCGAGUCGCCUCCUGACUACUGUAGGACAGAGCACAGGAUUGGUGGGAGGAGGUUGGUCAUGCUAUCGGGGAUGAUGUCGCGUUGGACACGAUGAAAUGGAGCGAUUUCUCGGCCAGGUUCAAGGCCGAGUUUACACCGGUGAUUAAGUUGCAACAGUUAGCCCGUGAGUUUCAGGAUCUGAGGCAGACAACAGAGACAGUGGUGGAGAUCACCGCCAAGUUCAAGGAGAGAGCCCUUUUGGUUAUGUAGUAUGUGACGGACGGGGAGAUGAAGAAGGAUCGGUACCAAGAGUUGUUGAGGAGAGAUAUCAGUUAGUUUGUGAGCCAAUACAGCUGCAAGACGCUGGAAGACAUGAUCGCUCGGGUCAGUGAGAGAGAGAUUGAUCUUGAGACAGAGAAUAAGAGGAAGUUGGCAGAGGUUCAAAUAUCUGUAGGAUCGGCCAAGAGGCCCAAGACAUCAGAUUCUAGAUUGAGAGGUCCUCAGGACCGGGGCCGCUGUGGCAAGUGCGGCAAGAUGCACGAGGGUGCGUGUAUGAGUGGCAGCGGUGGUGAUUCUUGUUGCUUCAAGUGCGGCCGGAUUGGUCAUUUUACCAGAGAUUGUACUGCUACCACCACCCACCCAAGGAUUAGACCUGAUAUGUUUCCAUUGCAUUCAGAGGGGCCACAAGAAGGCCCAAUGUCUGAGUUUGCAUUUAGCAGGACAGGUGAUAGCACCUGCCCCUGCAACCUUGAGGAUCACCGACGGCCGUCAGGGCCGGGCGGAGUCACCUGCAGUGAGGAGCAUGGCGUAUCAGCUGGUUUUAGAUGAGGUGUCAGCAGCCCGAUAUGUGAGGUACAUAUCUUUCAUUCUCCAUUAGCUUACAUUUGAUUUUAUUGUUAUGGUUAUGCAUCGGUAUUGAUAAUGAUACUUCUAAAUUUUGUGACCUGCUUGUGAUUGAGCUAUAUGCCAUCUGCAUGCCUGGGAUUUUAGAAUGAUAGUUGGAGGUCAUCUCCUUUAGAGCAGGUUACUUCGGAUGCAGUAACUGUAGCAUGCAUAUGUGGGACCCGAUGGUGUUUCGUGAGUUUCGGGAAGGUAUCGCUUGGGAAUAGAUCGGUUAGAUUCCCAGUUGUGGUAAGCUUGGGACUUCAGCAGAGUGGCCAGAGGAUGAUAAGGAGAACUGGGAAUUCUCCCGAAUUGUGAGCUGUGAAGAGCUAGACGAAUCGAAGUGGGGGAGAGCCACCCGUGUGGCCAGGGACAGGAGUAAGAGCAAGACCGGGGUGGUUUCGCAGACUUGGUAAGGUAAGUUGGGAGUUGGGGAAACUUUCCAACCAUGAGUUCGUGUAUUCGAAGUUAGUUGAUGACUGGUUUGGGGAAACCAGGUCGGAGAGCUUCUGGCAAGGUGUGAGCUUAGUCGGGAUAUAAGGUUGCGGGGUACCACAACAUUCCCCAGCAGCGAGUCAGUGAAGUGUUGUAAGACUGCGGGUAAGCCUUAGCAUUCAUUAUCAGCCUAGUUAGAGGAGUGUGGGCGGGGUCCGUAUCUCCUACUUCGAGGAGUGUGGGCAGGGGGGUCAUAUCUCCGAGUUAGUAUAAUAAGAAUCAGGAAAUUUUAUCCAGUUGAGAUCAGAGGAGGAGUAGGUCAGCAUAGCCCUGGAUAGGUGAGACCUGUGGGGAGAGGCCGCUCCAAAAUAUAGUUUGGGUGAGACCCAUGGGCGAGGCCCGUGUUCUUAUAGCUACAGGUGGGACCGGAAGAGACCUUAGGGUGAGGUAGGGAACGAGGUUCCCAGAUCUUCUAGAGCAAGAGUGUCUAGGUUGGUAAAGCAGUUCAGGAAGUUGCAGUAUAUUCAUAAGUCGUUGAGAGCAGCCGAGGGAUUAUUCUUGCGUUCGGUAACCGGUGGGGGACCGGUAUUUCAGGUAAUGAUAGAUUAGUUGGGACCAAGGUGGUCUCGGUUCAUCUGGUGGGCGGAUGGGAGUAAGCAAAACUUCAGACCGGAACGGUGAUAAGGGAUUUGGUGCAGAAAGCAGUAAGCCAACCAGAUGAUGAUAAGGGAUUUGGUGCAGAAUGCAGCUCUUGUCUGAGCUUUAACUGUAGCAGAGAGGGAUUCGCUACUCGAAGGAUUAUCUGAAUUCACACGAUGGGCGGAGUUUUAAGUAUUGGAGCAUCGGAUGUGGGAUUAUUUCGUGAGUAUUGGUGUGAUGGCCGGCACUUGGAGUGGCCAGAAUUGCAGUUCUAUCAGAGGAUUGGUCCUUGAAGGAGAUUGGAAAGGUUUGUUGCUUGUGGAAAGUUGCCUUGGAAAGGCCAGUGUCAGUGCAGGGUAAAGGGGUGACCCUCCUAUGUAUCAAGUGUAAGUAUACUGGAAGUACCGGUAGGGUCAUCAGUUGAGUAAGAGUGUUGCACUCGACGAAUAGUAAUGAUCGGAUUAUUCUGAAGAUGAUAUUUUAAAGAUUUGACCAACAGGCAAAGCGCGUAGCCAGUGGUAAAGUUGUAACUGGAUUGUAAGGUAGUUGACCAUGGCAGACUUCGAGGACGAAGUCAAGUUUAAGUAGGGGAGAGUUGUAACACCUGGAAUCCAGAAGACCAAGAAAUGAAAGAAAAACCAUAAGUCAAAGGGGCCAACUCGUCGAGUCCAAGGAAGAACUCGGCGAGUCGGAGCAUGUCCCAUGUCACAGAUUAAGUGACCGACUCGACGAGUUAGGGAGACUGACUCGACGAGUCAGGUAUUGGGAAACCCUAAUUUUGGUACUUGGUGCCAUAUUUAAAAGCCCAAUUCUCAUUUCUAGGGCUUCAUUUGUAGCCUCCACUAUCAAGAGACAAAACCCUAGCCACCCAAUUUCAUUCUUUAGCCUGUGUGAGAAUAUUAAGGUCCCUUUUGAGUGCAUCUUGAAGGUUGUAGGAAAAAGGAGCAAGGAAAGGAGUAUAGAUCCAGAGUUUUGGUGACAUCUCAGAUCAUUUGAAGGUAUAAAGCUUAUACCUUGAUUGUUAAUAAUCUAGAUCCCCUUUUCUAGCUUGUACUUUUUUCACAUUUGGGCCUUUUCCGAGGUUAAUCCGAGUAUUAAGCCAUUGAGAAUGUAUUGUACUUCAGAUCUGGGCACUUUUGCGCUUGGGAAGCUCAGAAUUGCUAGCUUUAUCUAGCUAUGGCCCCAUUUCAUGACCUAGACCUUCAUUUUAGCUUGGAUUCGGUGUUCUAGCUCCAUAGAACCUUGCAUGCACAUAAAGUUAGCAACUUUACGUGUGAUGCUAGCAUUAGGAGUCCAAAUCUAUGAGUUGGAGGUGUUGGAAUGGACUAUAAUCGAAUAAAUGAAGAUGACGAAGGUGGACUCGCCGAGUCUGUUCUUGGACUCAGCGAGUCGGGUCGGAACCCUAAUCCCUUCUGGUUAUGAUUCAGACCAGUGAGUUGAGUGGUGAAUCAGUUAGUUGGAAAAGACAGGACUCGCGACUUGUAGGAUUUUCUGAGUUUAUGAACUCGGCGAGUCAAUGGUGUGACUCGGCGAGUAGGGUCAACCUGGAAGGUUGACUUUGACUAGGGCUUUGACCAUAGUUGGCUUAGUUUGACUUCUGGAGGACAUUUUAAGACUAAGUGUUAUUUUGGUAUUGGUAGUUUGGGAAGCCGAAGGGUCAGCGGUUCAGAAGUUGCCAAGUAGUAAUCAAAAGUGUUCAGCGAGUUUUCAGCUGUGCGAGGUGAGUCUCCUCACUGUGUGCAUGGUUCUACGGCCACAAUGUCGGCCCAUUAUGUUCAUGAUUAUGUUUUGUUUAUAUAUAUAUGGAAGACCUUGGGGUUAGCCCUCGACACUUAUUGAUAUAUGUUCCGAGUUACGACCUGAUUCCAGGCGAGGCCCGAGGGAUGAUUGGAUGCUGGAGGUCUUGGUGAUUCAUGCAUGUGUUGGUAUGAUAGGAUCCGGACCGCGGGUCCGAUUUCGGUGUAAGCCCAAAGUACGUUAGAUAAUAGUAUGUUUCCGGGCCAGGAGUUCGAUGUCGGGGUGUUUCCGAGGAAGAUUCUUAUGUAGUGCGUUGUCUUCGUGAUACUUGUAUGAGCCUGGUAGGGACGUGAGUGUGGGCGAGGUCCCAUAUCUCAUCAAUAGUUGAGUAUAGAUGGGGUUCCAUAUCACAAUAUUAGCAGAACAGGGGCGAGGCCCGUGGUAGGAAGGAUUUGAGUCUUGGUGGGGGCCGGUAUCUCACUUCUAGUAGGAGUGUGGACGGGGUUCCACUACUUCAGUAGCAGACCAGGGGCGGGGCCCAAGUUAGGUGAGGCCUUAGAUCAGGGGAUGGUUAGGGAAUGUUUAUGUAUGUUUUAGUAUGUUAUUUGAUCGUAUGUAUGUGUAUGGCGGGCGAGGCCCAGAGACAGGCGGGGCCUAAGGGAAAUAGAUCUGUAUACCGAGCGGGGCUCGAUGCCAGGUGGGACCUGAUGCCAGGGGGGCCUGAUGACGGAUGGGGUAUGAUGGCGGGCAAGGCCCAAUGCAGCGUGCGGGGGCCCAAUAUGUGGUUAUGUGCUCAGAAUUAUGUAUGGCAUGUUUGGAUCAGUAGAUAUGUAUGGUAUGUGGUAGGUUGGGGAACUCACUAAGCUUCGUGUUUACGGUUUUCAGUUUUGGUUUCAGGUACUUCUGGUAGCGGAGGGAAGAGCUAGGGAUGAUCGCAUGGCACACACACCAAGAAGUUUAGCCUAGGAUAUUUACUCUGAUAAAAUGAAUAAGUGUUUGAAAAGAUACUUUUGUUAUAUAACCCUUUUAGUAUGUUUGAAAUGAUUUAAUACUAUGGUUUAUUAAUGUUUUAAAAAGAAAGUUUUGUUCAUGAUUUUUGGUAUGUUUCACAAGAUCCCCAUGGCCUUUUGAUUUAAGAUUUCUGCUGAUCCUUCCGGAGAAUCAGUGGAUCACAAAACUUAUAGAGGAAUAAUUGGCUCAUUGAUGUAUCUCACCGUAAGCCGACCAGACAUUGUCUUUGCAACAGGGGUAUGCGCAAGAUACCAAGCCGUUCCGAAAGUAUCUCAUAUGACCGCAGCCAACCAAAUUCUCAGAUACUUACUGGGCAGCAAGUCUCUAGGCCACUAGUAUCCCGCAGGGAAUGAUUUUAGCCUAUAAGCAUUCACUGAUGUGGAUCAUGCUGGAUGUAGAUUGGAUAGAGAAAGCACUUCCUGUGGAUGUCAAUUUCUUGGUGGAAGACUCGUCAGCUGGUCAUCAAGAAAACAAAAUUGUGUCUCACUAUCUACCGCAGAAGCUGAAUAUGUGGCAGCAGCCAGCUGUUGCUCACAAGUCUUAUGGAUGAAAAUGCAACUUAUGGACUACGGAUAUAGAAUGUUGCAGAUACCGAUUUACUGUGACUCAGAGAGUGCCAUAGCGAUUUCUCAUAAUCCUAUUCACCACGUAAGACGAAGCAUAUUGAACUACACUACCACUUCAUUAAAGAUCACAUCCUGAAAGGUAACAUUGAACUGAUUUUUAUUCAUACUCAUGAAGAGAUUGCAGAUGUGUUCACAAAGGCACUUGACUCUACAAAACUCAACAGUUUCGUACAAAUGUUAGGAAUGAUGAAUCCAUACCAGAAAUUCUUCUUGAAUUGAUAGGUACCGCAGACCACUCUUGGUCACCAUUGCGGUCCUAAUUAAAUAUAUCUAUCUUAUAUUGUUUUUGUGUAUAUUGUGUACUGCAAUACAUUUUAUGUACCGCAAUAUACUAUAUAUACCGUAACCAUAUAUCAUACCUAUAUUUCAAGGGUAAAUUCUUGAAACAUGUGUUAUUUAAUGACCCUUCAUUAAAUACGAAAAACAUUCUCAAAAUAUUCGUUUUGUAGCAUAUGAUCGUCUCUGUAGGGUCCGAUGGGUGUUGCGUCUUGGGCUCGUUCUUUAGUCCAUUUUUUGUAUCCAGAUUGGGCCUUUCCAUCCGUGAGUUAUUUCUAGGGUUUAGUAUUUAUAGAUGCUUGCAUGCAUCUUAGUACGUAAGAUUUGAAGUCAAUUAUUUCAUAGAUAUUAUCUUUAUUGUUUGUAAACCUAGUAGCCUCUAUAGCGGAAGUUCUUUGUCGAGCUCUGUUGAGGCUUGAAUCCAUUGAAUCAUUUGACAUAUUUUGAUUCAUUCUUGUGCUUGAUAUUUCUAUUUAACGUUUCUGUGAUUAACCUGUUUAAAGAUCUAAACGAUCAAAGAGUUUCUUAACUCAUCAAUUGGUAUCAGAGCAGGAGACUGUGUAAUUCAUACACAUCUCUUCUGUGAAAGAAGUGAUUAGGGUUUAUUCCGCAUUCAUUGAUAUUUAUUGAGCCGUCACUCCAUAAUUGACGUAUCUCAUUAAUUAUUGAUCUUGCCCUAAUAUUACGUAUUACAAAGUCUGAUCUUAUAACAGGUUAAACGAUCAAGCAUGGACGAUUCUCAAUCUAAUCCUAUCAACAUCUCAAACAGUAUAGGAUCUACAACCAAGAUUCCAAUUCUCUACACUCAAGAUUACGAAGUGUGGACGCACCACUUUGAAGACUAAGGCAUUGGAUGUGAAGAUAAUGGGUAUCUAAUAUGGGAAGCUAUUAUAUCUGGCCCAUUUGCUCAUUCAGGAACAUCUAGAAUCAUUAAAACUCAAAAGGAGUACAAUGAUUUGUUGAAAGAUGUGAAAGACGUUGCUCAGGACGAAAAGGAGAAGUUUUAAUGCAACAUUAAGGCAUUUAGGCUAAUUCAAUUCGCUCUUCAAUCCGACACAUUUAGAUUGGUAAGUUCUUGCAGUACAACAAAGAAAACCUGGGAUCGGCUGCGAGAGCUAUAUUCUACAGAUGAAGAUCUGGAGCACUAAAUUCAGACUUUACUUCUAUCUGAAUUUGGAGAGUUCAAGCAGAAGCCUGAAGAGGUUGUUACGUAGACAUUUGAUCGCUUCAAUCAUCUUCUCAGCAAGAUGAUCAAACAUCAUAUUGAAAGGAAGCUCAUUGAACAGAAGGUCACCUUCCUGAAUAGCCUAAGAUCCUAAUGGAGAGUUGUUGUGUCAACGGUUAAAGCACACGAGCAGUUCAAAUCAUACUCGUUGGCGAAACUGGUGGGGAUUCUGAAAUCCUAGGAAAAGACAAUGCUGCAAGAGAAAAGCGUGGUUUCAAAUCUAGGGUCUCUGGCGCUUCUGUCCAAAGUUAAGAGUGCAGCAGAAGACGAAGAGGAUCUAAAUCUGGGAGAUCACGAUUUGACAGUCGAAGACUAUGCUAUGAUGGUGUCAAAUCCCAGAAGGUUCAUUAAGAAAAAGUUCACUACCAACAAAAAUCGUAAUUGGCAGGGAAGCUACAGUUUUGAAAAGGUGAAAGAGGAGCCAAAGGUUGAAGAAUCGAAAAAGGAAGCGAAGGGUGAAGCUGACUCUGGUGUCAGUUGCUUUUACUGUGGUGGGAAGAAUCACUACGCAAAAGAUUGUGUGCUGAAGAAGAUGGUAGAGAAAGAUGAAGAGAAAGAAGCAAGUCUUAUGAAAAGUCUGGAAGAGAUAAAGAGGAAGAAAGCUGCUACUAGUCCCUCUAUGAAUGCUCUUAUUGUGAAGGGUUCGGUAGAUGAUGAUGAGUUCGGUGGCGUGCAGGUGUGGUCGAAUGACUCAGAAGACGAAGAAGUGAGAAAGCCUUCUCAUGGAAAGGCUUAUGUUGCAAAGAGUGGUGAAACUGAUGGAAUAUGUCUGAUGGUGACCGAUGUAUCUCAGAGGAGGGGAUACAACACUGAUGGUGGAAAUGAAGAGGCCAAGGAGCGAGAGGUCUUAUGCUUUAUAGCAAAACCUCUCAGUGUGCAGAUCAGUGAACUUGAUGAACUGAUCAAGAAGGUACAAACUAUUUUUAUUUCAUUUAAAAGUCCACAAAAAUCCUAUGAAAAGGAAUUAAAUAACUUGAAUUCAAGAAUUUCAAAUCUAGAUAGUUGUUUACCGCAAAAACGGGUCACGAAUUCUAAUCUAACUGACCAAAUAAGCAGGAUGUCAUCCAAGAGUGAGGAGCGAAGGAUGUGGAUAGAGCAGAAACAGUUGGAGCUGAUUAAGUCAAGGGAUGAAAACAUUUAUUUGCAAAGAGACAAUCUCAAAUUAUUAAAACAAAGGAAUGUUUGUUGUUUGAUUGCCAAAAGGCUUUAUGCUAACAUUACUCAACUGCAUUUAAACUGUGAAAUAGGACAGAAGAUAUAUCACAUGAUUUUACCCAUCCUUGAGUUUAAGGAGGAUGAAAUUGAUGCCGAAGCAUACAACUGUGAAAGUGUUGUAUCUUCCGAUGAUGUCAAUCCUACUUACAUGUAUGGUCUGGACAAAAUUGAAUCCUUUAUAAAGUCCAAAGACCAUAAGGACAUGCUUAAAAAUCUUUUGGAUGAAAAUGAUAAGUUGAAACUCAGGGCCAAAACCAUACAAAAAUUUGACUCAUUGAGUACCAAUUUGAGUUCAGAAAAUAAAAUUGAUGUUGAAAAUGCAUCUGAACUUAAUGAGGACGAUGAUAUGAGUGAAAUUUUUGUGGAGGACGAAGUUGAUUGUUCCGAGUUUGUUAGGAGCGAACCUGAAAACCACAAAAACCAGAUUUCUGAAAAUUCUGUGGAAUUCGCUCGUUUGUCCAAAACUAAGUCCCCAAUCCUUAAAGAAAAGGCCGUCGUAUUUCAGAAAGUUAGAACAACUCCCAAUCAGGUGUAUAAGGUCACAGGAGUAACCGAACAUCAGACAGCCGAACUCACUGCCAUAGUGAACGAAGAUAAUGCAGAUGGCUGUGAUGAGUUUUUCUGGUCUGCACCGAUAGACAACGCAGAUGAAACAUUCGGUCUGUCAGAGUGAACAUCAUGGAAGGCCAAAGGUAGAUAUGUGCCCGAACCUCUGAAUAAGCCUACCAACUUUGACGUACCAAGUUCUAGUGGCACAAAAGAGAUUCCAGUGGAAGAAGUCACCUCAACAAGCGAAACCUCUUCCAUUAAGAGUGAACCUGUUGCUAAGAAGCUGAAACAAAAGGCAAAUAUCCAAAGACAACCGAAACAGGUGAAAAAUCAAAAGCAGCAGAGAAACCUGAGAUAUAAGAAAAAUCUCUCAGAGCGAAAGCAGUUUUGGCGCUCCCAAAAUCCUCACUACACUCACUUUGAAAAAAAUUCUAAGUGAAAAGGAGAAGAAAACAAGAGUCAAAGGAACUUCGAAUCUCCGAUUCAAAAGAACCAGAGAUAGACUUUCGGGUCACAGGAAGAACAGAACCGAAAGGAUAGGUUCGGUCCCGAAAGCAACAACAACCGAUAAGCUAGUUUCGGUCUGCCAAACAACAACAGGCAAAGACUAGAUUUCAGCCCAUAAAGCUUUUACAAUAAAAGACCCAGUUUCGAACCUCAAGUCAGGAAAGAUUCUCAUUCUAAUUUCUUUUCCUCUAAUUCUUCUCGUUCUCAAUCUUCUUCUAAGCCCAAUUCUGGUCCUACACAAAAUUCAAGAUCGUCAAAGGAUUUGAAAGGAAAAAGGAAGAUUUCCUCAGCUAAGGAAGACCGAAAGCAGGCUAAAGUCCAAACACCAGGAUCUGAAUCCAAAACACCUGCAUCUAAUUCUAAUAAAAUCAAAGUGUUUACUAUUAAAAGAAAAGGCGAAACAACCUUAAUAAAACGAACAUAUCUUGUUGAUGUUUUCUUACUAUUCUUGUUUCUGUAAAAGGCUCACGUGGACCCAAGGAACUUUGGCUUCCUAAAUCUGCUUAAUUUUUGCAGGUUAUCAGUGACGAGCAGUUUGACGACGAAUGGUACAUCGACAGUGGCUGCUCAUGUCACAUGACAGGAAGGAAGGAAGAGUUAAGGGAGUUUCGUUCACUUCAAAUUGGUGGUAAUGUCAAAUUCGGUAACAACUCUUAUGGAACAAUAAAGGGUUAUUGGAUGAUAACCAAUGGAGACUUCUCAAUAAGGAAGGUGGCGUAUGUAGAUGGGUUGUAGCAUAAUCUCAUCAGUGUAUCUCAACUGGUGGGAGGUACAGGUCUCAAAGUUUCGUUUGAUGACAAAGGUUCAGAAAUUAUAGAGAAGAAAACCAACAAAGUCAUUCUCAAGUCAAAUCGAAAAGGUGAAAUGUUCCUUCUAAAUCUCAAACCAAUCAAAGGGAAUCCAACCAUAUGUCUUGUGUCCAAAGCUCAUUCAGACGAAAGUUGGUUGUGGCACCGAAGGCUUUCACAUCUCAACUUCAAAGACAUCAACAAGCUUGUCACCGGCGGUCAUGUUCGGGGUCUUCCAUUGCUUAUGUUUGAUCGAGAACACUUAUGUGCUGCAUGUGAAAUGGGUAAAUAGAGUCGUCAAAGUCACCCAACCAUCAUAAACACCAAGGUUGUUGAACCACUUGAGUUGCUUCACAUCGACUUAUGUGGUCCAUCAUCAAUGGAGAGCAUUGGCGGUAACAAGUAUAUCCUUGUUAUUGUUGAUGACUUCACACGUUUUACUUGGGUAUUCUUUCUAAAGCACAAAUCUGAGGCGACUCCCAACUUGAAGAUCUUUAUCAAGCAAGUUGAAGUGUAACUGAGGAAAGUCGUUCGAAACAUCAGGAGCGACAAUGGACUGGAAUUCAAGAACAAAAAAUUUGAAGAUUUCUUGACUGAAAAAUGCACCAGUCAUAAUUUCUCAGCCCCUAUACACCUCAACAGAAUGGAAUUGUCGAAAGGCGAAACCGAUCCCUAUGCGAGGCGGCCCGAACCAUGCUAAGUGUUGCUUCUCUUCCCUUAUAUUUCUGGGCUGAUGCUGUUGUUGCAGCAUGUUUUACUCAGAAUAGGUCUUAUCUCAACAAGCGCUUUUCUCUCACUCCUUAUGAGAUUAUUAACAACAGGAAGCCGAAUGUCAAGUUCUUUCACGUGUUCGGUUCCAUCUGCUUUAUCAUCAAAUCCAAAGAACAUCGCAACAAGUUUGAUGUCAAAGCUGAUGAAGGAGUCUUUCUGGGAUAUUCUCUUACUUCAAAGGCAUACAGGGUUUUAAAUAAACGUUCUAGAAGAAUUGAAGAAACCUAUUAUGUGACGUUCGAUGCAAUUAUGUCAAGAAACUAAAGUCUACCGAAGAAGCAAUUGGAGAGAUUUUCUCUCAAACAGGUCAAGUCACACAGAUAACAAAAUCGAUCAUCUUAAGCAAAUUAUCAAAGAUGUAGCCAAACAAAUGGGAGAAGGAGAACCAGUUCGAAACGAACCUCCCCAGAGCGGUACUUCGGUAGAGGGGGAGAAUCAAUUCUCUUCAAAACAACAGGACUCACAUAUUCAGGGGGAGAAUCCGAUCUUUGAAGCACCCGAAAGCCCAGCUACACCUGAAAGUCCUGUAGCACCCGAAAGCCUAGCUACACCCGAAAGUCAUGUAGCACCCGAAAGCCUAGCUACACCCGUAAGUCCUGUAGCACCCAAAAGCCCAGCUACACCCGAAAGUCCAGUAGCACCCGAAGGUCCAAAUCAACCUGAAAGUUCAGUUGAAGAAAGAAUUUUUAGGUCAAAUCCAAAUGAUUCAUUAUCUGUCGAGGGGGAGAAUUCUGACAUGCUCUAUGACGAUGAUACUCAAUCUGAAUUAGAAGAAAUGGUAAAUGCUGAACUGGAUCCAUCCUAUGACCCAAGUAAUCCUCCACUCACCAAAUAGACCAGAGAUCAUCCUGCAUCUCAAGUAGUGGGUGACGCAUCAGAGAAAGUUCUAACUCGCUCACAACUGAAGGCGAAACAAACUGCUUUACUCUCCAAAGUAGAGUUCUACAUGUUUAACUCUUUCGUGUCUAAAAUUGAGCCGAACACUGUCAAUAUUGCUCUCGAUCAUUCUGAUUGGGUUCAGGCAAUGCAAGAUGAACUCAAUGAGUUUGAAAGAAAUAAGGUCUGGCGUCUCAUUCGAACACCGAAAGAUGCCUCAGUCGUUGGUCUCAAAUGGGUAUUCAGAAACAAAUGGAUAAGGAUGGUAAUGUGAUUCGAAAUAAGGCUCGUCUUGUGGUAAAAGGAUACUGCCAGGAAGAAGGAAUUGAUUACGAAGAGACGUUUGCUCCGGUAGCAAGGUUGGAAUCUGUUCGAAUAUUUCUUGCUUAUGUUGCACACAAGAAUUUCGAGGUCUACCAAAUGGAUGUGAAGUGCGCUUUUCUGAAUGGGGAAGUUGAAGAAACGGUAUACGUGGAGCAACCUCCUGGUUUCGUGAAUGAAAAAUAUCCAAAUCACUGCUACAUUUUAGAUAAGGCAGUUUACGGUCUGAAACAAGCACCUAGGGCAUGGUAUGAAACACUAACUAAGUUUUUAAAGAUGUUUAAAUUCAAACAAGGUUCGGUUGACCCAACCUUCUUUCGUAAAAAGGAAGGUAACUAUCUUAUGAUAGUUCAGAUCUAUGUCGAUGAUAUUAUCUUGGCCUCAACGAAUCCUAGCUUAACAGCUGAAUUCAGAAAGUUGAUGGAGACAAAAUUUGAAAUGAGCUCAAUGGGUCCGAUUAACUUUUUUCUUGGUUUAAAGAUUAGGCAGGGACCCGAAGGCAUCUUUAUAAACCAGGAAGCAUAUACCAAGACUCUUCUUGCUAAAUUCUGCAUGAUGGGAGAUUCAAAGGUCAAAGUCCUUAUGGCGUUCGGUACCAAGCUCACACCAUCUUUGGAAAAACCGGCAGUUGACAUAACGCUAUAUCGCCAAAUGAUUGGUUCCCUGAUGUACCUCACAGCUAGCAGGCCUGAUAUAAUGUUUUCUGUGUGCUACUAUACCAGGUUUCAAGCAAAUCCUCGUGAACCACACAUGCUGGCAGUGAAAAAUAUACUCCGGUAUUUGAAGUGAACAACCUCUCUCAGUCUCUAGUAUCCCUCAAACUCAGGUUUUUUUGUUCAAGCCUACUCAAAUGCAGACCUUGGAGGAUGUGGUUUAGACAGGAAAAGCACUACAGGAGGCUGUCAAUUCCUUGACGGGAAGUUGGUGAGCUGGCAAUCUAAGAAACAAACAUGUGUUUCUCUGUUUACAGCCGAAGCAGUGUACAUUGCAGGCGCUUCUUGCACAUCUCAAGUGAUUUGGAUCCAAAGCCAACUCCGGGAUUAUGGACUCAAUAUGAAAAAGAUCCCACUAUAUUGUGACUCAGAAAGUGUAAUUAGGAUUUGUCAUAACCCAGUGCAACAUUCCAAAACCACACAUAUUGCAUUGAGGUAUCACUUCAUUAAGGAUCAUGUGGAAGACGGAAAUGUAGAGAUUCACUUUGUUCGAACCACUGAUCAACUGGCUGACAUCUUCACCAAAGCCCUUCCUGAAGCAAGUUUUAAUAAAAUUCUACAAGGACUAGGUAUGAUGGAAUCGGAGUCAGUACCAAAAACACCUUCUCAAAACUAAAAGUUGGAAGCGAAAUGAACCGAACGUUCGGUCUAUUUCGGGUUCGGUUCCCAUGGGUACCGAAAUGAACCGAACGCUCGGGUUCGGUCCCAUUGCACUUGUUUUCGCUUAUCUCAAAAAGGUAGUUUCUUUGGUUGUGAACUUUUGUACACUUGUUUUCCAAUUUUUUUUUUAAUUCCAAAAAAAAUUUUACGAACCGAAAUGAACCGAGCUUUCGGUCUAUUUCGGGUUCGGUUCCAAAACUUUUUUUUGGUUUGUUUUGUUUUUGUUUUUGUUUUGCUCUUUACGAAAAUUUAAAAAAAAAAAAAAAAAACUCCAAAAAUAUUUUUUUCUUUUUCUUUUUGUCUCUACUUCUAUUUGUAUUCACCGUUUAUAGAUUAUCGAUGGGGCAGGUAUCAUUCUCACACUUUUGUAGUAGCUAAGUGUCCCUAGAAGCAUGCUACAGCAUGUUGUCCAAAGCCUCAACUGAUUCUGAAUAAAGCCUUACUGACUUGGUAUAUACAAACCUUGUCUUCCCAAUUAGGCUACUACAUUUAUUCGAAUCAUGAGCUACCUUACUCUUUUCUCAUAUGCGAUAAGAGUUUUCUGCUUGGUCACUAAUUUUUUUUAGUAGAGGUACUUUGGUUUCCUUACACCAUCUCAAAUAUUUUUCUCCAUCAUAUUCGCUUCAUAUCAGUAACCCUUGAGACUCUCAGAAAUUACCACUGAGGUUUAUGGUUACACAAUUUCUGUGUUUAUGAUCUUAGCUUCGUGCCACUACGUGCUAUGUGAAACCCACAAUUCAAUACCUACUAUGCAUUGAUGGUGAACAAUUAAAUUUGCUCUAGUUUUCACUCAUGAAUUAACGAAUUCACCCAAGUGGUUGUACCAUGAGAUCUCUAAUUUUUCUUUUUGAGUGAUUCUUAUGAAAUUGUUAAAUACCAUAACAUUUCUUCCCUUAGAAUCCAAUUUUAAUUUUUUUUGAGAUUUCACCCCAAGUAUUUUCAACAUGUCACUUAAAUAUUAUCCAAACCUACUUGUUCAACAGACCACAUUGGUCUCACAAGUACUUCAGUCGAUUUCUUUUUUAUGUAAAGAUCAGGAAUUCUGAACUGAAGCGAAAGCCUCCCAAAUAAGCCUUAUUAAAAAAUGCCUUUCAACACUUCUUAAUUAGUGAUUAAUUGUAAUUCAACGGGAAACCACACAAACACUCUAAGGUCUCUCUUGACUUUGAAGGAAGAGAUUCGUGCCCGGGAUCCAUUGUUUUGUGUCUCUAUUGACAUAACAAAUUCCCACAUAUAUGUUGAUUUAUUUCUUUAUCUUUGACACUCUAUGCAUGAAAAUCUUUUUUGAUUUUCCAUAAAUCUGGUUUCCUUCAUUACAAGCUAUUUGUUUUGGUUCUGGGAUUUAAUGCUAUAUUCUAAACGAGAUGUGGUCGUUAAUGCUACACGUUCUUAAUUUUAUCUAUGAAGACAACUCAUUUUAAAAGGAUAAGUUGCUGACUCAGCCGAAAGUCUAAACGUUUUAGUAUUUCAAAUGGCGCUUGAUGGGAAGGCAUACGAAACGGAAGAGUUUCUCUCUCCUACGUAAUCAUAGGGGUUCUAACUGUCAUGCGUCAAUCAACUUAGGAAACGCUUCGUUUUUUCAAGAAGAUUUGGGAACAUAUUCUUCUCUCUCUUCUACCCAUGGUAUAAAGGGUAAACCCUACAGUCUUUUACCUCUUUACUGCAUCAAAUAUUCAGAGAGCAAGAAACGAUUACUUUGUCCCACUGUUCAUCAUCUUCCCCAAAACCACUCUUCAAUGGCGGACUCUUCUUCAGUUCAUGCUACUUCCCACAUUCUGACAAUCCAACCUCAACAAAGCCUGAUCAUUGAUCUCACCCCACAUGUCUACGACGCUUUCAUGUUCCUAAUCUUGGAGUGUCUCAAACACUCUCCACUGGUUCCCGCACUAACCAAGUUCGAACUUGUUCCAAUGGAGUGUUUAUUGCAGAUCUUCUCAACUGCCCACUAUGAGAAGUCUGUCGAUUGAAUUUUCUUUGACAUUUUUGUUACCAAAUCCUCCAUCUCCAAACAACGAUUUUGUUCGCUUUUAGGGUUUGAACCUGACGAGUCUAGGGUUAACCCUGAAUCUAUUCUUGUGGGACAGUUGUUCUCCAUGUUUUACAACAUGGGUUACACCGAGAUUCUGACCACUGUUACCAAGUUCAAGAAAUCAUGUCUACCUCCUCAGUGGAAUGGCUUCUUCACUGUGCUGUUCAAAGGAUUAUCAGAACAAAGUGCAGGUUCUGAUGGGGCUAGCCGGCUGUUUAUGACUAUUCUCUAUGGGCUGUACCACGGCGUCAAUCUCGACUAUGGAUCGGUUUUAUGGCAGCAACUGAUUCAAAGCCUUGCGUCUACUUCUCGCCAUUUUGAGAUCUCUUAUUCCAGAUUCUGGACUCUGGUCACAAAAUGGGAAAUGGACAAGUAUCAUGUCCUUGUCGUUGCUGAUUCUCCACUCUCCUCGAUCGGUAUUUUCCACACAACGAAGAUCAUAGUGUCUGAUGCUUCAAAAUUUUAGUUCAUUGGCUCCAUACCUGAGUCAAUGUAUGUGUGUGUUCCAAGGGAUAGUCGCAUUAUCAAAACCUACAAGGAGUUUCUUCAUUCAGGCCCUCGAGAGCUCACUCCAGAAAUGAUUCAAUCCAUCCACGACGAUGACAGGCCUGCUCCCAAGGGAAGGAAACCAGAAAAGGGGAAAGUCAAGAAAGUUGUCAAAGGAGCAAAAGGUCCUUCUCCAAAGAAGCGAAAACCUUCAAAGGCAGCUCAAUCACCUCCACCAAAGAAGAGGAAAACUCAGCCCAGGCGCAAACUAAUUCUUGCCUCUUCCUCCAGUGAAUCAGAGGAUGAGAGUUCAGACUUAGAAGAGUCACUUCGAGGUAACACUCCUCCACGUUCGCCUUCCCCUGAGGUACAUGUUUCAUCUAAACCUGUCUCUCCUCCCACAAUCUCUAUCUCUAUUUCCAUUCCCCCCAUAACCUCCACUACACAAAUACCACCUACCUCUAUCCCUGUACAACCUACUAUUUUCAUAGAAGCUACGACAACAACCACCACUGGAGUUCGAACAAACGUAUCUGAUACGAGGGCUCCUAAUUCAGCACCCGAACCCACACCCACUACAGAACAAACUUCCAUACCCGAACCUACUCCCGCAGCCGAACCUUCACCUUCUCCUUCAUCUCCCAAUCUCUCAGCUGAUGACGAGACUUUUCUUGGAGUGGAAGACAUGAAGUUUGAUUCGGUCUACUAUAGUCCGUAUCAAGUUCAAAGUGAUGAUGACGAUGAUGCUCCAUUCACCAAGAAGCAUCUCAAGCAACUUCAUAAGAAAAUCGAUAGUCUCAUCGCUUCCUCCUCCUAUUCCUCUCGGUCCACUAUCUCAGAGGCUACCAUUCAGCGGCUAGUUGAUACGUUGACCAAGGCUCAUGAAGCCUCCAACAACUCUGCCACUGGUCCUAUCGACGCCUCUACCAAGGCGUGUGCUGCUGCAACCAAAAAAGUCAAAAAACUAUUUGCCGAUGCUAACACUUUUUUAAAGUCUUUACAGGGAGCCGCUGAUUCCAAUGCAGCGAAGCGUGACUCUCUUGUUGAGACGCUGGUCACUUCAUUCGCAUCCGAACUGCAGUCCUUUGCCAGUCUUCGUCAGUCUCUCGCCGAUGACAAUAAAUCAUUCCAGACGACUGUUGAGGAGCGCUUGACAAAGCUGCAAGAAGAUCUCGCUUCAGAGAACUCAGUGAUGGAUGCUCUUGUCGCAAGACUAUUGCUCUCAAGGUCAAGAGUCUUCAUUUUUUCCAAUCAAAAAAGCAAGUUGCGUCUCUCUGAUCUGAGUGUGCGGUUAUCUCCACGUGUGUUUUGGAUGUCCACGUUGCCCUCUCCAACAUCAUCGAAGCAAAUGACCCAUCCUGAACUACUCUAUGAGGCACACUCUAGCUAAGAAGCUUGCUCCUGCCCUUGCCCUACUCAGCAAACUUGAAGGGCUUCUUGAGUUUGUGGCCCAUCUGAAACAAGGGGGAGAAGAUGUGUCUCAACCGCCUCCUACUUCUACAUCAACUAAAGCAACCGAACCUCCUCCAGCAGGUCAAGCUUCAGGUUCGGGUGUUAAAGAUAAAGGGAAGAAGAUUGCUGAAGACAGUGAUGGUGAUGAUGAUAAAGAGACCAUCGCUGAUCUCUUGAAGAAACAAGGUCGGGAAAAGGAUGCAGACAUGAGUGCUCGCGUUGCCAGAGAGGCCGAGGCGAACGAACGAAAAAUGAAGGAGGCUCAUGAUCUUCUUGAGAGUAGAAAAACUCUAUUUCCUCCAUGGACUCUCGAGAAGCUUAUCAAAGAAGCAAUUGAAACUCCCAGCAACCUGUGGCUCGAACUGGUGAUUUCUUUGGAUCGGAUCAAUUUUGUCGACUCUCAGUUCGAUAUGCCACUGACCCGAAAGUCCUUCAUAUUCCAUGCUUUUGCUCAUGUUGCUGAUGCCCCUCAUCCUCACCCAAAGGUUGAUAGGGAGCUCGUUGAAUUCUAUCUGAGGUCUGCUCAGCCUCAGUAUCAGACAUGGAGUGCUCAGAAGAUCAUUAAAUUUCGGGUCCUCAAACCGUUUCGUGAGGGGAACUUCACAAACGUUCGGUUCAAAGUGCUGAGGGGUUCUGCUAAAACUAAACAUGCUAUUUCACUUGCUGAUCUUCCCAACCUGAAUCCACAUGAUUGGAUUAUUCUACAUAACAUCCUCCUCACUAACGAAGCUGAGUAUGGGCCAAUCAUCGAUCACUUCAAAAGGAUGCUUGUUUGCUACAUCAUGAAGGUUGCCAACAUGGAUCAGGAGAUCGCAAGUAUUUCAAGAAGAAGCCUACCAUCUUUCCUGUUGGUUCUGCAAGUGAUUUAAAUAUGAUGCAGAUGGGAAGAAUCGACCCGAAGUGGAACUCUGUCAUAUUCACAAGGAACGAAGGCCAAAAAUGUAUGUUCGCCUUGGCAGAUAAGCAUCUAUACACCACUGCGUGCUUGGAACAUGUUCUGGGGAUCAUUCAUCGAUGCAAGCAGAAUUCAGCAGAUGACAAGAAGUAUUUUGAAGACAUGAUCUAGUGGUACAUUCGCUUCAGACAGACCAUCCUUGCCCUCAUUCCACGUCUGUUUGAAACCACAAAGAAAGUUCCUGCAGCUAGACCCAGCAAGACGAAGUAGAGUCUCGCUCCAAUUGACGCAAAGGGGGAGAUUGUAGGGUCCGAUGGGUGUUGCAUCUUGGGCUCGUUCUUUACUCCAUUUUUGUAUCCGGAUUGGGCCUGUCCAUCCGUGAGUUAUUUCUAGGGUUUAGUAUUUAUAGAUGCUUGCAUGCAUCUUAGUACGUAAGAUUUGAAGUCGAUUAUUUCAUAGAUAUUAUCUUUAUUGUUUGUAACCCUAGUAGCCUCUACAGCGGAAGUUCUUUGUCGAGCUCUGCUGAGGCUUGAAUCCAUUGAAUCAUUUGACAUAUUUUGAUUCAUUCUUGUGCUUGAUAUUUCUGUUUAACGUUUCUGUGAUUAACCUGUUUAAAGAUCUAAAUGAUCAAAGAGUUUCUUAACUCAUUAGUUUCAGUUCUUCUUUUCAAAUAAACCUUUUGUCAGACCUAUUUUAGGUGUGAUGCCAAAAUAAAACAGUUUCUGAUAAAAGAAAUAUUUUUAGAAAAUCUUUUCCUAAAAUUUUCUUUUCCACUUACCCCCAAAAUGUCGAAUCUGUUACAAAUUCAACCUUUAUUUAACGUAUUAUUGUCCAUCACCACACGUUCUUCAGACAUGGGGUAUUGGGCCUGACAUUUCAUUAAAUGUCAUUUUUUUAAAGUUAACAAAAAAAACUUUUAGUUAAAUGUUUUUGUGGCUGAUAAUGAUUUCAUUAAUUAAAAAAACUCAAAGGUUUUUAUCCUUAAUCACUUUUCUUUAGGGUAAAAACAAUAAUUAUUUGAAAUCUACCAAUAUAAAAACCCUCUUUUUCUCUCCAAGAAUGUUUUACGCUUCCUGAUCUCUCAAAGACGAACAACUUCUUUUCUUCCCUUUUGCACUUCAGAUUUUCCUGCAAAUUCUUUAAGUUUUUAAAAAUGGUGAAAUUAGGAAUCUCAAAGAAACACUCAAAAGUAUCAGCCUCUGCUCAACCAACUGGUUUCGAUUCUGCUACACGGAACCAAUCGCCUUUAAUUGCAUCUAGCAAUUUUAGGGAAAUUGUCAAUGAUCAUCCUUCCUACAAUGACUCGAUUCGUCUCAUGAUCAAGUUCAUCUCCAAUCAUCCACUCUUUGGACCAUUCGACGUAUUCACUAAGGUGGUUCCCAUAUCCACAUUGUUCAAAUGGGCAUUCUCAGCCUAUCGUCCUCUUGAUAAUCUACAAGAAGUUCAUCCAAACUUGGAGGAUGACUCUUUGGUCAUCUUGACCAAAAACAAGUUUCUUACUGCAAUCAACCUCCUGGUGCAUCCCUCAAGCAAGUUCUUUUCACCAAGUGUCACAGACAUCACCUCCACACUGUAUCAAAUAGGAUACCUGAGGCAGAUCAAGGGUAUUAGAGAGUUCAAGAGGAACUAGCUGCCUGCAGUAUGGAAAUUUCUAUUCCAUUUCGUGAUCCGCAGUCUAUCUGGACAAACUAGAGGCACAAACUGUUGGGUUUUGAGCAUUCUAACACUCCUAAGUGUACAUGCAACCCUAAAUACCUUGGAUCUAUGUUUUCUCUAUUAUACAUGCAAAUAAGAACAUCCAAGGUAUUAUCAUAAUCUAGCAUACAAAACAAUGAAUGUAACAAGAUAGAAUACAUACCUCUUUGAUGUAGAAAGUCUUCUUGAAGCUUGAGUGCCUAGUGCCCCAAGUGUGACACCUCAAAUGGAAUCACAAUCAUCAAAACACUUAGAAUAGCUUUAUAGAAUUCUACACUUCAUGAAAUCGGCUAGCCCUCUCUAGAAUAAUAAUAGUAGCGAUUUUGCCAAGAAUAAUAUCUUUAUAUAGUGUUACAAUUAGGGCAAACACUAAUUGUCAUGACUUUCCAUUUCCUUGGAUCCAUGGGUUCAAAUACACCAUGGAGCAUCCAUGGACCAUCCUAUGGGUUUUAGCCCAACUUGAUUAUCCAUGGAGCAUUAGCCCACUAUACAAGUAUGGAUGAUUUACACAAUCAACCCAUAUAUUUAAUUAGUCUUCUUUUGAUCACUUAAUUAAUCCUAGAUUAAUUCUUGAUCAAUACUAAUUAAAUAAUCUUAUUAUUCUUAUUAUUAAGAUACUAGAACU